CACACUGGACUGAGACACGGUCCAGACUCCUACGGGAGGCAGCAGUGGGGAAUAUUGCACAAUGGGCGAAAGCCUGAUGCAGCCAUGCCGCGUGUAUGAAGAAGGCCUUCGGGUUGUAAAGUACUUUCAGUUGUGAGGAAGGGUGUGUAGUUAAUAGCUGCGCAUCUUGACGUUAGCAACAGAAGAAGCACCGGCUAACUCCGUGCCAGCAGCCGCGGUAAUACGGAGGGUGCGAGCGUUAAUCGGAAUUACUGGGCGUAAAGCGCAUGCAGGUGGUUCAUUAAGUCAGAUGUGAAAGCCCGGGGCUCAACCUCGGAACUGCAUUUGAAACUGGUGAACUAGAGUGCUGUAGAGGGGGGUAGAAUUUCAGGUGUAGCGGUGAAAUGCGUAGAGAUCUGAAGGAAUACCAGUGGCGAAGGCGGCCCCCUGGACAGAUACUGACACUCAGAUGCGAAAGCGUGGGGAGCAAACAGGAUUAGAUACCCUGGUAGUCCACGCCGUAAACGAUGUCUACUUGGAGGUUGUGGCCUUGAGCCGUGGCUUUCGGAGCUAACGCGUUAAGUAGAC
Molecule: ribosomal RNA, 567 nt
Filed under: Vibrio sp. a168
Lineage: Bacteria; Pseudomonadati; Pseudomonadota; Gammaproteobacteria; Vibrionales; Vibrionaceae
Description: bacterial SSU rRNA
Rfam family: Bacterial small subunit ribosomal RNA
Source: RNAcentral